Molecule: long non-coding RNA, 337 nt
Filed under: Ananas comosus (pineapple)
Lineage: Eukaryota; Viridiplantae; Streptophyta; Magnoliopsida; Poales; Bromeliaceae
Description: long non-coding RNA (ACOM_LNC002350)
Source: RNAcentral
UAUAUAUAGUUGAGCUAGAAUACCAUCGAUAGCAAACGGGUUCCGUUGUCACCCAUUUGUUUUCGAUGAUGAAGCCUCCAAAUCGACGAUCAGCACCGUUGAAUAUGAUCUAUAUCACUUGAAGAGUUUAGAAAUCAAUUUUUAUACAUUUUCGAUAUUAUUCUCUUAUCCAUCGAGUGGAGACAAAAAUGAACGGCUGAAAAUGAAUAUUCUUUAAAAGAUGAUGAUAGGAGUCUUGUAAUCAAGAUCAAGAAUAUAGAACUUAUUUUAUAUAGUUUAACGAAUUUUCUAGCAAAAAUUCAAUUGGUGUGGAUAUUUUUACGCCGUUAAACGAGAA